Long non-coding RNA from Felis catus (domestic cat), 822 nucleotides. RefSeq lists it as uncharacterized. NCBI's taxonomy places the organism in Eukaryota, Metazoa, Chordata, Mammalia, Carnivora, Felidae. The record is from RefSeq and is a predicted model, not a curated record. The transcript is spliced from 3 exons.
CUCACCGGCUUCUCCAGAAGAGGCUCCAGUCCCCUCUCAGGAGAGCCGAAGGCAGACUGUGACCAGAGGCUCUGUUCAGCUGACCUUCCCUGGAAGCCGUCACCUGCCAAAAAUAGACAGCCCUUCUCGGGCUUCUGUUACUUUGUAUACUGACUACCAUUUUCAUUUCUGCACGUGCAAAUCCUGCCUGAUAAAUUUUUCUAAGAUUUUCUUUUGAUUGAGGCAGAAAUUAAAGAGUGGAGAGAAGAAUGUGCCCAGAAGUCAUGAAGUCCCAGAAGCUGGUAUGCAAAGGAACAUAGCUGUGUGCUGGGGCCCUAGUGGGCGCCGAGUACUUGGCGGGGACCUGGGGCACAGCCACGAGCAGGAUGGUGACUGCCCGCGAGGAGCAGACAAGCUAGCGGGGAACAGAUGACAAAGUCAUGACACAGACGCACAUGUAAUUAAGGGAAGUUAUCCGAGAGCUGCUAGAAUCGAUCCUGAAGAACUACAUGUGGACAAUACCGCAAUUUCUGGAAUUUCUUGUUGAAAUGGAUUUUUUCUGAAUUUCCACCAAACAUCCUUAUGUUUAAGGCUCUCCCUAAUUAUUUGUGUGUCUAUUGCUUCAGGUGAGAAAGAACAUUUCCAAAUAAAAAUUAAUUGAAAAUAUUCUUUGGUUAAUUAUGAUCAAAGAUAAAUUGAUAAAUGUGAUCAAUCUGAGCUACUUCUUGAACAUAAAAAUAUGCAAAGAUCAGGGGAGCCCAGGUGGCUCAGUCAGUUAAGUGUCCGACUUCGGCUCAGGUCAUGAUCUCGAGGUCUGUGAGUUCAAGCCCCGCAUCAGGCUCU